This 1480-nucleotide long non-coding RNA is filed under the name Marmota monax (woodchuck). The record is from RNAcentral. Lineage: Eukaryota; Metazoa; Chordata; Mammalia; Rodentia; Sciuridae.
GAACAGAAUUCAUCACAGUUCUGUGACAUGGUGUCCAGUGGAUGUGUCAUGGGGCAGCGAGCUCACAUUUAUUUAUUUAUUUAUUUAUUUAUGGUGCUGGGGAUCGAACCCAGGGCCUUGUGCUUGCGCAGCGAGCACUCUGCCAACUGAGCUAUAUCCCCAGCCCUCACCCUUAUUCAGAGGCCAGCUGGCUGCCAAAUCAGCUCGGUUCAUUUAGAGAACACCUGUUUCCACCUGGUGACAUGAGUCUGCAUAUGACGUGGGGCCUCUUGUGCAUCUAUUGCCGUGACCCCACAGGAGGAGGGGAUGUCAGGGGAUGCAUCGUAGGCCAUUGAAGAUAGCCAUCCAGGGCUCUUCCCUGGGGGUCCCCGCUGUGUGCAUCCAGGGCUGUCUUGUGGAGAUCAGAGAACUGAGGCUUCUGAGAGGCCAAGAAAGUUCCCAGGAAAGGGAUGGGGAUGCCACCUCAGAGGGGCUCCCUGCUCCCCAGGAACGGAGGCUGAAGGGCCUCUGCUCACACUCCUUCACCAGGCUCCCUCCCGCUGUCCACCACGGCUCGGGGAGUAAAUUAAUAAAUUCUCACCAUGCUUUUGAGGGCCUCAGGGUGUCUCGGUUCAUUUUGGGCAGCUACAACAGAACACCACAGCCUGGGUCUCUCUUGAUGGGCAGAGACUUACUGACUGACGCUUCUGGAGGCUAGAAGUCCAAUUCAAGGGGCCAGGGUCCGUCCAGGCCCCUCUUGCUGUGCUGUUGAACGAUGGAAGGAAGAGAUAAAGCUAAUGGGUGAAAAGGGGCGGGAGAACCGCCUUUUAUAAACAACCAUGUCCCCCGAGUGAGCCGACUCCCCCAGUCCCCCACUGCACCCUUGUGGCCUAGCCCCUCUCCUCGGGCCUCAGCUCCCAUCUCUGCUGCCCUGGGGCCCUGGAAAGCGCACGGCAAGGUCUUCAUUAGAGAAAGCUGAGUGCUUGGAGGAGUCCCCGGGGAUGUCCCCGCCCUCCUGUGUGCCUCUGCUUUAUCACUACAGGGCUCUUCCUCAGAGGCCACCGGGGAGGAGUUUUGCUUUCUUUCAUCCCAACUCAGAAGGCAGCAGAGAGGACGAUGUCAGCAGAACCAAGGGACAGAGGAACAGGCGUCUCAGCCGUUCAUUGACCUUCAGAGGUCGGCCGAGUCUGAGCUCUAACGAGGCGGCUUCAUGAUGAAGACGAUUCCCCCGUGUCCACUUUCCUCCUGGAUCUUACCACCCCUGGGGGGGCCCCGCAACAGCAGAGCAAAUUCUUAGUUUUAAAUAUUGAUUUAAUGGGAGUAAAUUGGUACUUCUUUAGUUAAUCUGGGGCAAGUGAACAUUUUUAGAAAUAAUUCAUUUCUGCUAGUGGCUCAUUUGUACCUUGUGGUCUCAGGUAUAUUCUUCUUACCAACUUACAGAGGGAUAGCACCGAGAACUACACAAAUGAAGACUAUAGUUGUAACCACCCACCCCCACCCC